Molecule: long non-coding RNA, 225 nt
Filed under: Nicotiana benthamiana
Lineage: Eukaryota; Viridiplantae; Streptophyta; Magnoliopsida; Solanales; Solanaceae
Description: long non-coding RNA (NBEN_LNC040476)
Source: RNAcentral
AUAAAGGAAAAGGGAUAGAAGUAACUACUCACCAAGCUAAAAAACUCAAACCUUUCAAUAUCCAACUUAGACCAGAACAACCCAUACCUAAAAGGACAGAUUUUAUUUACCAAUUACCAAAACCCCAGAUAAAUACUUACAGUGAAAUCACCAAAAAACCUAAACAAAAUCCAUUCGUGCAAAGAAUACACAACUACCUGAACCAAUUCAUACAAGUUGCCAACU